GGGGAUUUAGCUCAGUGGCAUAAGCGCCUGCCUUGCAAGCAGGCAGUCGUUGGUUCAAUCCCUG
Molecule: transfer RNA, 64 nt
Filed under: Cavia porcellus (domestic guinea pig)
Lineage: Eukaryota; Metazoa; Chordata; Mammalia; Rodentia; Caviidae
Rfam family: tRNA
About the family: Transfer RNA (tRNA) molecules are approximately 80 nucleotides in length. Their secondary structure includes four short double-helical elements and three loops (D, anti-codon, and T loops). Further hydrogen bonds mediate the characteristic L-shaped molecular structure. tRNAs have two regions of fundamental functional importance: the anti-codon, which is responsible for specific mRNA codon recognition, and the 3' end, to which the tRNAs corresponding amino acid is attached (by aminoacyl-tRNA synthetases). tRNAs cope with the degeneracy of the genetic code in two manners: having more than one tRNA (with a specific anti-codon) for a particular amino acid; and 'wobble' base-pairing, i.e. permitting non-standard base-pairing at the 3rd anti-codon position.
Source: Rfam by way of RNAcentral